CCGACCUGCACGAAUGGCGUAAUGAUGGCCAGGCUGUCUCCACCCGAGACUCAGUGAAAUUGAACUCGCUGUGAAGAUGCAGUGUACCCGCGGCAAGACGGAAAGACCCCGUGAACCUUUACUAUAGCUUGACACUGAACAUUGAGCCUUGAUGUGUAGGAUAGGUGGGAGGCUUUGAAGUGUGGACGCCAGUCUGCAUGGAGCCGACCUUGAAAUACCACCCUUUAAUGUUUGAUGUUCUAACGUGGACCCGUAAUCCGGGUUGCGGACAGUGUCUGGUGGGUAGUUUGACUGGGGCGGUCUCCUCCUAAAGAGUAACGGAGGAGCACGAAGGUUGGCUAAUCCUGGUCGGACAUCAGGAGGUUAGUGCAAUGGCAUAAGCCAGCUUGACUGCGAGCGUGACGGCGCGAGCAGGUGCGAAAGCAGGUCAUAGUGAUCCGGUGGUUCUGAAUGGAAGGGCCAUCGCUCAACGGAUAAAAGGUACUCCGGGGAUAACAGGCUGAUACCGCCCAAGAGUUCAUAUCGACGGCGGUGUUUGGCACCUCGAUGUCGGCUCAUCACAUCCUGGGGCUGAAGUAGGUCCCAAGGGUAUGGCUGUUCGCCAUUUAAAGUGGUACGCGAGCUGGGUUUAGAACGUCGUGAGACAGUUCGGUCCCUAUCUGCCGUGGGCGCUGGAGAACUGAGGGGGGCUGCUCCUAGUACGAGAGGACCGGAGUGGACGCAUCACUGGUGUUCGGGUUGUCAUGCCAAUGGCACUGCCCGGUAGCUAAAUGCGGAAGAGAUAAGUGCUGAAAGCAUCUAAGCACGAAACUUGCCCCGAGAUGAGU
This 827-nucleotide ribosomal RNA is filed under the name Salmonella enterica. Its description in RNAcentral is "partial 23S ribosomal RNA". It matches the Rfam family "Bacterial large subunit ribosomal RNA", at positions 1983 to 2809 of the family's 2925-position model. The record is from RNAcentral. Lineage: Bacteria; Pseudomonadati; Pseudomonadota; Gammaproteobacteria; Enterobacterales; Enterobacteriaceae.